This 71-nucleotide transfer RNA is filed under the name Bos taurus (domestic cattle). It matches the Rfam family "tRNA". Rfam says of the family: Transfer RNA (tRNA) molecules are approximately 80 nucleotides in length. Their secondary structure includes four short double-helical elements and three loops (D, anti-codon, and T loops). The record is from Rfam by way of RNAcentral. Lineage: Eukaryota; Metazoa; Chordata; Mammalia; Artiodactyla; Bovidae.
UCCUGGUGGCUCAGAGGUUAAAGCGUCUGCCUCCAAUGCAGGAGACUCUGGUUCGAUCCCUGGGUCGGGAA